This 74-nucleotide transfer RNA is filed under the name Candidatus Omnitrophota bacterium. RNAcentral's name for it is "tRNA-Val". It matches the Rfam family "tRNA". From Rfam's summary of the family: Transfer RNA (tRNA) molecules are approximately 80 nucleotides in length. Their secondary structure includes four short double-helical elements and three loops (D, anti-codon, and T loops). RNAcentral also lists the same sequence under 1 other name. Lineage: Bacteria; Pseudomonadati; Candidatus Omnitrophota. The record is from RNAcentral.
GGGCACAUAGCUCAGUUGGUUAGAGCACUACGUUCACAUCGUAGGGGUCGCCCGUUCGAAUCGGGCUGUGCCCA